UCGGCGCCUGGGUGGUGGGCGCGGCACCCGGCGCCGUCGUCGGCGGGUUGGCCGGCGGGUUCGUCGUCGGGUUCGGGCCCGGGUCGCCGGG
RNAcentral lists this transfer RNA (91 nucleotides) under Dactylosporangium sucinum. RNAcentral describes it as "tRNA-Asp". Lineage: Bacteria; Bacillati; Actinomycetota; Actinomycetes; Micromonosporales; Micromonosporaceae. The record is from RNAcentral.